This 562-nucleotide ribosomal RNA is filed under the name uncultured bacterium. RNAcentral describes it as "bacterial SSU rRNA". It matches the Rfam family "Bacterial small subunit ribosomal RNA", at positions 338 to 916 of the family's 1533-position model. The record is from RNAcentral.
CCUACGGGAGGCAGCAGCAAGGAAUUUUCGUCAAUGGGCGCAAGCUGAACGAGCAACGCCGCGUGCGGGAUGACGGCCUUCGGGUUGUAAACCGCUUUUUGGGGGGACGAUCAUGACGGUACCCCCGGAAUAAGCCCCGGCUAACUCUGUGCCAGCAGCCGCGGUAAGACAGAGGGGGCAAGCGUUGUCCGGAAUCACUGGGCGUACAGCGCACGCAGGUGGCCGAUUAAGUGCCUUGUGAAAGCCCCGCGCUCAACGCGGGGAGGCCAGGGCAGACUGGUGGGCUGGAGGGCUGGAGAGGGUGGUGGAAUUGCCGGUGUAGUGGUGAAAUGCGUAGAGAUCGGCAGGAACACCAAGGGCGAAGGCAGCCACCUGGACAGCGCCUGACACUCAAGUGCGACAGCGUGGGGAGCGAACCGGAUUAGAUACCCGGGUAGUCCACGCCGUAAACGAUGGACGCUCGGCGUUCGGGGGGUAAGGCCUCCUGGGCGCCUCAGCUGAACGCGGAAGCGUCCCGCCUGGGAACUACGAGCGCAAGCUUAAAACUCAAAUGAAUUGACGG